AGUGAACGCUGGCGGUAGGCCUAACACAUGCAAGUCGAACGGCAGCACAGUAAGAGCUUGCUCUUACGGGUGGCGAGUGGCGGACGAGUGAGGAAUACAUCGGAAUCUACUUUUUCGUGGGGGAUAACGUAGGGAAACUUACGCUAAUACCGCAUACGACCUACGGGUGAAAGCAGGGGAUCUUCGGACCUUGCGCGAUUGAAUGAGCCGAUGUCGGAUUAGCUAGUUGGCGGGGUAAAGGCCCACCAAGGCGACGAUCCGUAGCUGGUCUGAGAGGAUGAUCAGCCACACUGGAACUGAGACACGGUCCAGACUCCUACGGGAGGCAGCAGUGGGGAAUAUUGGACAAUGGGCGCAAGCCUGAUCCAGCCAUACCGCGUGGGUGAAGAAGGCCUUCGGGUUGUAAAGCCCUUUUGUUGGGAAAGAAAAGCAGCAGGUUAAGACCCCGCUGUUCUGACGGUACCCAAAGAAUAAGCACCGGCUAACUUCGUG
Molecule: ribosomal RNA, 492 nt
Filed under: uncultured bacterium
Lineage: Bacteria
Description: partial 16S ribosomal RNA
Rfam family: Bacterial small subunit ribosomal RNA
Source: RNAcentral